CAGCCGCCACGGGAAUACGAAGGGGGCUAGCGUUGUUCGGAUUUACUGGGCGUAAAGGGCGCGUAGGCGGACUGAUAAGUCAGGGGUGAAAUCCCAAGGCUCAACCUUGGAACUGCCUUUGAUACUGUUUGUCUUGAGUUCGAGAGAGGUAGGUGGAACUGCGAGUGUAGAGGUGAAAUUCGUAGAUAUUCGCAAGAACACCAGUGGCGAAGGCGGCUUACUGGCUCGAAACUGACGCUGAGGCGCGAAAGCGUGGGGAGCAAACAGGAUUAGAUACCCCCGUAGUCCCUGUCUCUUAUAC
RNAcentral lists this ribosomal RNA (301 nucleotides) under uncultured bacterium. RNAcentral describes it as "partial 16S ribosomal RNA". It matches the Rfam family "Bacterial small subunit ribosomal RNA", at positions 509 to 807 of the family's 1533-position model. The record is from RNAcentral.